This 841-nucleotide ribosomal RNA is filed under the name uncultured Fidelibacterota bacterium. RNAcentral's name for it is "bacterial SSU rRNA". It matches the Rfam family "Bacterial small subunit ribosomal RNA", at positions 51 to 873 of the family's 1533-position model. Lineage: Bacteria; Pseudomonadati; Fidelibacterota. The record is from RNAcentral.
AUACAUGCAAGUCAAGGAGAAAGUUUUUUUCGAAAAAUAAUUAAACUGGCGAACGGGUGAGUAACGCGUAGGCAACCUGCCCUAGAGAUUAGGAUAACAUUGGGAAACCAAUGCUAAUACUGAAUAAUGCAGCGGAUCCUUCGGGAUAAUGUUGUUAAAGUGGGCUUCGGCUCACACUUUAGGAUGGGCCUGCGUCCGAUUAGCUAGUUGGUAGGAUAAUAGCCUACCAAGGCGAUGAUCGGUAGCUGGUCUGAGAGGAUGAUCAGCCACACUGGGAUUGAGAUACGGCCCAGACUCCUACGGGAGGCAGCAGUAGGGAAUUUUGCGCAAUGGGGGAAACCCUGACGCAGCAACGCCGCGUGACCGAUGAAGCUCUUAGGAGUGUAAAAGUCUGUCGUAAGGGAAGAAAAGUUUAGAUAUUAACAGUAUUUAGAUCUGACGGUACCUUACAAGAAAGCACCGGCUAACUUAGUGCCAGCAGCCGCGGUAAUACUAGGGGUGCUAGCGUUGUCCGGAAUCACUGGGCGUAAAGGGUUCGUAGGCGUUUUAGUAAGUCAUUUGUUAAAGACAUCGGCUUAACCGAUGAAAUGCAUCUGAAACUACUAAAAUAGAGUGUAGGAGAGGAAAGUGGAAUUCCUGGUGUAGCGGUGACAUGCGUAGAUAUCAGGAGGAACACCAAUGGCGAAGGCAACUUUCUGGCCUAUUACUGACGCUGAUGAACGAAAGCGUGGGGAGCGAACAGGAUUAGAUACCCUGGUAGUCCACGCCGUAAACGAUGAGUACUUGGUGUCGGAGGAAUCGACCCCUUCGGUACCGGAGCUAACGCAUUAAGUACUCCGCC